UACAGGGACUGACUAAUCAAAAUCUCACCACUUGACAUGUGAUUCUGUGUUUUCAAUGUUUAUGAGAAACUGAAAGAGAAAAUAACAGUCUGUUCUUCAGCAUGUUUUGUUUACUCUCAAGUCAUUUUGUGCCUCUUGCCAUUUUACUGCACUGAAUGGGGAAACAGCCUUGAUCCUCAAAACACACCUGGAUGUUUACAUCAAGUAACAAAGAUUUGGAUUCUCUAACAGGGCAUGCAUUUCCAGAAGACGAGGGUGGCGAUCUGCUCAAGUCGAGCUUCAGUUUUCCAGGGACGCCAGAGGAGGAGAUAGGUACAGAUGUCAUCUCUCAGAUAACUUGCUCUGCUUGUGCACCCCGAGGCUGGGUGCAGCCGUGG
This 377-nucleotide long non-coding RNA is filed under the name Numida meleagris (helmeted guineafowl). Its description in RNAcentral is "lncRNA (ENSNMEG00000021335.1)". Lineage: Eukaryota; Metazoa; Chordata; Aves; Galliformes; Numididae. The record is from RNAcentral.